GACGAACGCUGGCGGCGUGCUUAACACAUGCAAGUCGUACGGUAAGGCCCUUUCGGGGGUCCACGGGUGGCGAACGGGUGAGUAACACGUGAGUAACCUGCCCACAACUUUGGGAUAACGCUAAGAAACUGGUGCCAGUACUGGAUAUGUGCCACUGCUGCAUGGGGGGGGUUGGAAAGCUCCGGCGGUUGUGGAUGGACCCGCGGCCUAUCAGCUUGUUGGUGGGGUAGUGGCCUACCAAGGCGGCGAAGGGUAGCCGGCCUGAGAGGGUGACCGGCCACAUUGGGACUGAGAUACGGCCCAGACUCCUACGGGAGGCAGCAGGGGGGAAUAUUGCACGAGGGGCGCAAGCCGGAUGCAGCAACGCCGCGGGCGGGAUGACGGCCUUCGGGUUGUAAACCGCUUUCAGCGGGGACGAAGCUUUUUGUGACGGUACCUGCAGAAGAAGCACCGGCUAACUACGUG
Molecule: ribosomal RNA, 465 nt
Filed under: uncultured bacterium
Lineage: Bacteria
Description: partial 16S ribosomal RNA
Rfam family: Bacterial small subunit ribosomal RNA
Source: RNAcentral